AGAGUUUGAUCAUGGCUCAGAACGAACGCUGGCGGCAUGCCUAACACAUGCAAGUCGAACGAGACCCCUGACUUCGGUUGGCGGGUCUAGUGGCGCACGGGUGCGUAACGCGUGGGAAUCUGCCCUUGGGUUCGGAAUAACUCAGAGAAAUUUGAGCUAAUACCGGAUGAUGACGAAAGUCCAAAGAUUUAUCGCCCAGGGAUGAGCCCGCGUAAGAUUAGCUUGUUGGUGGGGUAAUGGCCUACCAAGGCGACGAUCUUUAGCUGGUCUGAGAGGAUGAUCAGCCACACUGGGACUGAGACACGGCCCAGACUCCUACGGGAGGCAGCAGUGGGGAAUAUUGGACAAUGGGCGCAAGCCUGAUCCAGCAAUGCCGCGUGAGUGAUGAAGGCCUUAGGGUUGUAAAGCUCUUUUACCAGGGAUGAUAAUGACAGUACCUGGAGAAUAAGCUCCGGCUAACUCCGUG
Molecule: ribosomal RNA, 466 nt
Filed under: uncultured bacterium
Lineage: Bacteria
Description: bacterial SSU rRNA
Rfam family: Bacterial small subunit ribosomal RNA
Source: RNAcentral